Molecule: ribosomal RNA, 774 nt
Filed under: uncultured Neocallimastigales
Lineage: Eukaryota; Fungi; Neocallimastigomycota; Neocallimastigomycetes; Neocallimastigales
Description: partial large subunit ribosomal RNA
Rfam family: Eukaryotic large subunit ribosomal RNA
Source: RNAcentral
UAUCUCUGUAGAGUCUGCAUAUCAAUAAGCGGAGGAAAAGAAACUAACUAGGAUUCCCUCAGUAACGGCGAGUGAAGCGGGAAGAGCUCAAAUUUGAAAUCUUCAAGGUUUUACCUUGACGAAUUGUAGUUUAAAGAAGUGUUUUCUGUUGGUGUUUUGGUAAAAGUUCUUUGGAAUAGGACAUCAUAGAGGGUGAGAAUCCCGUAUCUGACCAUUACUUCCAGCGUUGUGAUACACUUUCAAAGAGUCGGAUUGUUUGGGAAUGCAGUCCAAAAUGGGUGGUAAAUUUCAUCUAAAGCUAAAUAUUGGCGAGAGAUCGAUAGCGAACAAGUACCGUGAGGGAAAGAUGAAAAGAACUUUGAAAAGAGAGUUAAACAGUACGUGAAAUUGUCAAAAGGGAAGCGUUUGACACCAGUGUUGUUUUCUCGAAAAUCAAUUAAAAAAUGCUUGAUUUUGUGUUGUAUUGACCUUAAAAGCUUUCUUCACUUUUUUCAUGUCUUUUUAAUGCACUUUUCGUUUAACAAGUCAACAUCAGUUUCUUUUGUUGUAAAAAGGUCAUUGGAAGGUGGCUUUCUUUUCGGAGAAAGUGUUUAUAGCCUUUGACUCCUGCAAUCGGAGAGACUGAGGUCUGCAGCGUAGAUCCUUCUUGGAUUAGAUUCAUUUGUGCUAAGUUAUGGCUUUUCAUAGACAACUUGUUGACUAGGUUUAGUCUUGUAGCUUACUCGCUUAUGUAAUUUUACCUACGCUUAGGAUGUUGAUCUCUCACAGUCGAGC